This 270-nucleotide ribosomal RNA is filed under the name Escherichia coli. RNAcentral describes it as "partial 23S ribosomal RNA". It matches the Rfam family "Bacterial large subunit ribosomal RNA", at positions 1530 to 1796 of the family's 2925-position model. Lineage: Bacteria; Pseudomonadati; Pseudomonadota; Gammaproteobacteria; Enterobacterales; Enterobacteriaceae. The record is from RNAcentral.
UUCCAGGCAAAUCCGGAAAACUAAGGCUGAGGCGUGAUGACGAGGCACUACGGUGCUGAAGCAACAAAUGCCCUGCUUCCAGGAAAAGCCUCUAAGCAUCAGGUAACAUCAAAUCGUACCCCAAACCGACACAGGUGGUCAGGUAGAGAAUACCAAGGCGCUUGAGAGAACUCGGGUGAAGGAACUAGGCAAAAUGGUGCCGUAACUUCGGGAGAAGGCACGCUGAUAUGUAGGUGAAGCGACUUGCUCGUGGAGCUGAAAUCAGUCGAA